RNAcentral lists this ribosomal RNA (238 nucleotides) under uncultured bacterium. Its description in RNAcentral is "partial 16S ribosomal RNA". It matches the Rfam family "Bacterial small subunit ribosomal RNA", at positions 96 to 334 of the family's 1533-position model. The record is from RNAcentral.
CGGCGGACGGGUGAGUAACGCGUGGGUAACCUACCCUAUACACACGGAUAACAUACCGAAAGGUAUGCUAAUACGGGAUAAUAUAUUUGAGAGGCAUCUCUUAAAUAUCAAAGGUGAGCCAGUACAGGAUGGACCCGCGUCUGAUUAGCUAGUUGGUAAGGUAACGGCUUACCAAGGCGACGAUCAGUAGCCGACCUGAGAGGGUGAUCGGCCACAUUGGAACUGAGACACGGUCCAA